RNAcentral lists this long non-coding RNA (4815 nucleotides) under Capsicum annuum. Its description in RNAcentral is "long non-coding RNA (CANN_LNC016444)". The record is from RNAcentral. Lineage: Eukaryota; Viridiplantae; Streptophyta; Magnoliopsida; Solanales; Solanaceae.
AAAAAAAAAACAAUGGUACUGCCAGGACCAUACAUCUGGUCGACCAUACGUGGUAAUGAAAAUACAAAGUAUACUCUAUUUCUCAGCAUUAACAAAUUUAUGGACGUCAUGUCUACCAGGUCGUCUCUAUCGUGAAGAUUAUGACUGCAUUUACCAGUUACCAUAACCACCUUUACCAUUCCAGGCAGUGAUUCCCAGAACAGAGUUCUGAUGGAAGCUGUGUGGAUGAAUCCUCAUAGAAGCUGAAACAAUUUUCGGUCAGAAACGCGGCACCAACGUGCUUGGUGCAGCUAAUGAGCAAACCAUAGGAAGUAGAGGUGAGUAGAUAAUUUCAAUCAGCAAAGUAGCCGAUGGAAGAGAUUUCUAAGUAGGGUAGUACCAUGAAAUUCUCGUCCAAUCCACAGAAGCGCAAACACACUCCAUUCAGAUUAUGUUCUUCAUUUUUCUGCUGUUCCUCUUGCAUGCCUUAACGGUUAGGAUUGAACAUCACCCUCUAGCCAAUCAAACAUCAUUGUCAUUGGACUGAAUCAAUGAUAUUGAGGAAGUCGGUCAGAUCCUUCUUCUCAACUAAAUUAUUGACAUUUACUAGUGAUAAUAUAAUAUGUGGGGGAAGGGCCGCACCCCAAGGGUGUGAUGUAGACAACAUAUCCUAAUACAAAACAUUAGUGGUUGCUUCCACGGCUCGAACGCGUGACCUAUAGGUCAAACAGAAACAACUUUACCGCUGCUCCAAAGAUCCCCUCAAGUGAUAAUAUAAUAUACAACAACAUACCCAGAUCCCAGUGUAAUCCCAUAAAGUGGGGGAGUACUGAUAAUAUAAUACAGUAAACAUAAUUAGAAAAUACUGAUGAUUCCUAAACAAGAAAUACUUCAUUUUUUGGUAAAAUCAUUGCGUCGCUUGUCAGAUAUUAGUUUGGUUUGGAAACCAAACCAAAUUGUUCUCUUUUAUAACGCAGUGUCACAAUCAACUCGUGCCCUUUCAUGAAGUAUUUGUUGCCUUCUAUCAAAAGGUAAUGAGUUCAAGAUUUGUGUAUUGUUGGUGUACAAAAUAUUUAAUAUUAUCAAGUAAAUUUGAUCUGCCAUUGCAGAUUAUUGAGUUUUUUACAUAAAAAUUGAAAAAGAAAAAAUUAGUUAAUCAUAUAAAAUUUAUCUGAUAGUAUAGAGUAGUUUAUACAGAGAUAAAGCACAAAACUUAAAUUUAAAGAUAAUUCUGUGCCCCUUGAACAUUUGCAUAAGUACAAUGUUUUAGUGCAAAUUUGCCUUGCCAUAAAGCCUAACGUACUCGCAGAGAUUUGGGCAAAUUCUAGCAAUGAAAAAUCUUUAUCAUGUCAUAAACUUGACGAAUCCUCACAAUUUAAUCACAAAAUUGAUUUAUUAUAUUUUUUAAUAUUUUUUUUUUUGCUUUAAAAGUGUCAUGAAUGAAUUUCAAAUGACUUCAAAUUUGCUAAAGAAAAUUCUAAUAGUAACCUCAAUAAUUCAUGUUUGCUGAGGAUUUUAGGGAAAUAAUCUCUCAAUCUUUUCGAGGCAGUGAUAAAAUAUAUGUAUAUUUUAUCCUUCUAGACCUCACUUAUAGAAUUUCACUUAGUAUAUUAUUGUUGUAGUAGCCUCGAUAAAAGUUAAAUUUUUGACUCCUUUCAAUCGAGGGUCCUUCGAAAAUAAUUUCUCUAUCUUUACAAGUUAAGACUAAAUUUUAAUUGUAAAAUUUCAUUGACUAUGUUAUUGUUGUUCCAUAAUAGACUUGCAAUCUUUUAUAUAGGAGGUGGCCACUGGCCAUUAGGGGGCUACAAAAGACAGGUAUACAGAAAUAACCCUUUGGUUACACAAAACAUGCAUUCAGUAAUUCUUAUUUGAGCAUUAGAACAUUUCGUUGUACUAAAUAUAAGUUGUUUAUUGGUUAGAAAAAAAGAGUAACAAUAUGCUCCUUAUUUUAGUUAUUUCAUUUAUCUAAUCAUUUAGGUAAUUCAAGUAUGUAUUUUUGAUGGUAUUCUAUAAGGGAGGUCCGGGAUUAAUUUUCUCCAUCUGACUUCUUCUCAGUCUAACUCACCGCACUAGACAACACUUCUUUAAAAAUAGUGUAUAAAUUUGAAUUAAUCAAACUAGUAAAUUAAAUAUCAAAUGGUUAUACUAAAUUCUAAUAAAUGAAGAGAAAGGAAAUUUCCCUUUGGGCUCCACUUCUCUAAAUGGGAACUAGGAUAUUAUUUCUUUCUUUCACUUUUCCAUAAAACCAAACAAAGAAACUGUAAUAUCUUUCUGCCUUUACACUUUCUUGAUUUUGACCUCCCUGUCCUUUUCGUUCCUUUUCUGUUCUUCAUUUCACUGCUUUCUGAAGAAAUCCAAACAAACUAAGGUUGGUCUUUAAUUUUUGUCCUUCAAAAUCAAGCUUAUAUCUAGCAGGAUAUAACUUGUGAAAUAUUAUGGUUCUCUGGAGGAAGGUAGUAGGUACUAAGGUACCCUGCGGAGUUGAUCUCCAUGCACACAAACUGGCCCGAUCAGUACGAUAAUUGAAAAAGGCAGUUGUUCUAGUUAAUUUUAUCUGCGCUUUGUAUGUUGAACUAGUCUAAUAUUUGAAGUAGUAGAAAAAACCAAUGACUGCCAGGACCAUACAUCUGGUUGACCAUACGUGAUAUUGAAAAUACAAAGUAUAUUUCUCAGCAUUAGUCAAUGUAGUCAGCCAUAUAUAGUGCUUGCCAGAACUGUAAGAAAUUGUAAACAAAUUUAUGGACGUCAUGUCUACCAGGUCGUCUCUAUCGUGAAGAUUAUGACUGCAUUUACCAGUUACCAUAACCACCUUUACCAUUCCAGGCAGUGAUUCCCAGAACAGAGUUCUGAUGGAAGCUGUGUGGAUGAAUCCUCAUAGAAGCUGAAACAAUUUUAGGGCAGAAACGUGAAAGCUGCACCCGGCAGAACGUGCUUGGUGCAGCUAAUGAGCAAACCAUAGGAAGUAGAGGUGUAACACCCCGUAGUAUUCUCGACUUGAUACCACACUUAGUAGCAUGCUUAAAGAGCUAACAACCUGAAACUUUUCCAAGUGUUUAAAAGGACUUAGUCAUAUUUUAAGUUCCUGAAUUUCAAUGAUCCUUAAAUCGAUCUUUCCGACCUCGAGACGUAGAUUUUAAAGUUAAUUCAUGUUCAAGGAUGUAAGGGGCAUGUCUUGGGGAAGUUUCAGAAUUUUCGAACGAGUGUAAGGGCAUGUUUGGAUCACCAAAACAGUAGCACGCCGCAAUAUGCCUGCGUCACCUGCUCCAUUUCGGUGCUACGGAACACACGUCGCGCGCUCCAUUCCGGCGCUCCGUAGCCCGCUGAAUAGCGUGCUCUCAUAUUUUUCAGUUCCUGUUUCCGCGUAUUUGAGGGCAAUCAGGUCAUUUACCUUACCCAAAACUGUCCAAAACACAAGAUUGAAGCCCCCAAAGAGCAUUUGUUACAUCAUCAUUCACUUUUCCUCUCCAAGAAAACCCUAAACCCCCCAAAGAUCAAGAAUCAAGCUCUUACGUCAAGAUUUCCAACAAACAAAUCAAGAUUCGGGUUCUAUCCUUCGAACUAAGUAAUCUAAGAUACGUGGGGCCAUCCUAAACUCCUUGGGCAUAAGUUUUAUGAUUUUUAUUAAGUUCAAAGAUAUAUAAUCAUGUUUACAAAGAGGGUUUUGACAUGGUUUUGAAUAGCAUAUAUUAUGAACUUGUUUUGAUGAAAGUAAACGUUUGUCUUGAACCCCUUUUAUAGAAUUGAAUUAUAACCACGUAUACAUACGCGUUUUCAGUUUUGCAAAGUUCAAUUGAGAGCAUAAAUGACGCAACCCCUCUCUUGUUUCGAUACCUCUUGAUUUCACAUGUUGUUGGUUGUUCAAUUGUAUAUUUUGAACAACAACAAACCCAGUGUAUUCCCACAUAGUGAGGUCUGGGGAGGGUAAGAUGUACGCAGUCCAUACCUCUACCUCUAAAGAAGUAGAAAGGUUGUUUCCGAUAGACCCCCGGCUCGAGGCACGGAAUACUAAACAAAUUCAUAGUAAACCAUAACAUAAAUACGACACCCACAAGUAAUAGUAAACAGAGAAAAGUAAACAGAUUCGUAAUAAAGCAUGAAACAAGGUAUCAUAACAAGAAUAAUACCCGCACCAAGUAAUUCCCUACCCUACACCCAAACUGACCUUAGCCUUCUGUCCUAAUUCGCGUCCUCCAGAUCUUCCUAUCUAGGGUCAUGUCCUCAAUGAGUUGUAACUGCUCCAUGUCCCGCCUAAUCACCUCUCCCCAGUACUUCUUCGGCCUACCCCUACCCGCCUAAAACCAUCCAAAGCUAGCCUCUCACACCUACGAACCAGGGCAUCCAUGCCCCUCCUCAUAACGUGUCUGAACCAUCUCAAUCGGACUUCCCGCAUCUUAAUCUAACUCUAUCCCCCCUAGUCAGCUCACACAUCCAACGCAACAUCCGCAUUUCCGCCACCUUCAUUUUUUGAAUGUGAGAGUUCUUAACUGGCCAACACUCCGCUCCAUACAACAUGGCCGGACGGAUUGCCACCCUGUAAAAUUUGCCUUUAAGCUUGGGCGGCACCUUCUUAUCACACUAUACCCCCGAAGCGAGCUUCCACUUCAUCUAUCCCACCCCAAUACGGUGCGAGACAUCCUCUUCAAUAUCACCGUUACCCUGAAUCACGGACCCGAGAUACUUGAAACUAUCCCUCUUACAUACCACCUGUGAUUCCAACUUCACUACCACCUCAUUCUCCAGCCUCACGUCAUUAAACUUGCAUUCCAAAUACUCUGUCUUACUCCUACUCAACCUGAACCCUUUAGACUCAAGAGUUUGUCUCCACACCUCUAAUUU